Molecule: ribosomal RNA, 380 nt
Filed under: uncultured eukaryote
Lineage: Eukaryota
Description: SSU rRNA
Rfam family: Eukaryotic small subunit ribosomal RNA
Source: RNAcentral
AGCUCCAAUAGCGUAUAUUAAAGUUGUUGCGGUUAAAAGCUCGUAGUUGGAUUUCUGCCGAGGAUGACCGGUCCGCCCUCUGGGUGAGUAUCUGGCUCAGCCUGGGCAUCUUCUUGGGGAACGUAGCUGCACUUGACUGUGUGGUGCGGUAUCCAGGACUUUUACUUUGAGGAAAUUAGAGUGUUUCAAGCAGGCUUACGCCUUGAAUACAUUAGCAUGGAAUAAUAAGAUAGGACCUUGGUUCUAUUUUGUUGGUUUCUAGAGCUGAGGUAAUGAUUAAUAGGGAUAGUUGGGGGCAUUCGUACUGCAUUGUCAGAGGUGAAAUUCUUGGAUUUAUGCAAGACGGACUACUGCGAAAGCAUCUGCCAUGGAUGUUUUCA